UAUAUAUAUAAGCGAGAGAAGAGUGUACGAACGCAGCAUUACAUCAUUGUGCAAAAAGUAACCUGGAUUGUACGUACCUUAGAUUUGUAUUGAUAUCAUUGGUGAUUCAAUUUAUUUACCCUCACUUCAAUUUCCACUUUACUUCCACUUCUGAUUCUUCUCAUUUGUUUUUUAGUCCGUCCUUGCUCUUUCUCUUUCUCUGCCAGUUUGACAUUUUGAUAUCUUCUUUGUUAUUCAUUCUCUCAGCAAAAAGUUAUUAAUUUCCCUAAAUUGGUUUGACUUCACAUAGGAAACACUCUUAUGUCUCCAGCUCCAGAACGCUCAAAAUCAACUUUCAUACGGUUUCCGUCUCCUGCUUCAGUUUCAGAGAUAAAAAUAAUAUGCUCUUCUCCUUCUCCUUCAAAGGUCGUCUACCUCUUCGAGUGAGUUUCUCAACUUUUUCUAUCUUCCUUUUCUCUUGGAGUUCGCUGAUGUCUUUUGUGCAUGCCGCCUUCUCUGUCCUUGUGAGCUUUUCGGCAUUCUUUCUCUGUUUAAGAUAUCCAGUUGUUGCUAAUUGAACUUUGGUAGACCUCUAUUACAGUCAUCUACUUUUCUGAUAGGUUUUUCAUUUUUGUUGGAUUUUUUACAUACUUUAUUUAAUUUAAGAAUACAUGUUUGGAAUAAGAUACAUUCAUACAAAAUUUUGAUAUUUGAUGAACACAAACUUUAUUUUCGGGCAAUCAACCUUAAUUCCCUAUUUCCCCUCUUUAUUUUGGGAAUUUUGUUUAUCUAUUUUUCUGUUAAUUUCUACAAAUAUCUACUCACUUCAUUCCUAUUUGAAGCUCUAAGAUUGUUGGUAUGGGGAUAAGUAAGUGAUGUAAGCAAGAUUAAUAACGACUUGAUUACAAAUGACAAAAUAUUGAACUAGAGUAGUAUACAUUACACUCUUUUUUAAAUCUCAUUGUUUGAGUUAUUUGAGGCACCUAACCCUCAGGGUUGGCCUGGUGGCAAUUGACUUGAGCCUUGGGGUUUGCUCCCUUUCAAGGUCUCAUGUUCGAAACCCACUGGGUGCAAACAAUUUCUGAGGGUCAUCGGACUGGGUAACACCUGAAUUAACCGUGGUGCACUUGCGGGAAACUCCUUGCCGAGGGCCUGUGCACCCCGGGAUUAGUCGGGGCUCUUAGAAACUCGGACACCCGGUGCAAAUCCCAAAAAAAAAAAAGUUAUUUGAGGCACCCCAAAUGUUCGACGAUAUGUCAAAAAUAAUUAACUACAUAAUAUUUUUUUUUUCCUUUUGACUGCUCUUCUAUCGUUCAUUGUGUGUAUUUCUACUACAAGAUUGCCUCUGUUUGUUUCUAAUUUAAAAACGUGCCACUUUUUAUCUAACUUUACCUUUUCAAGAAAAAAUAAAGAUGACUUUAAAGUUGCUCAAAAUUACCCAAAUUGUAAAUAUAAUUUUAUGAAGUUAUAAUUGAACUAUUUGGAACAUGAGUAUUGAAAGAUAAAGAUAUUGCUGAGCCGAAGGUUGGGGGUUUAGAUUAUCCAUUUCUUUGCAUGACCUUCUUUUGAUAGACUUGAGUGUUCCAAUGAUGGUGAAGAAGUUGGUCGAUUAAAAUAGACAAGAAGGAGGACAUUUAUUACGCUAUUUUUGUACCUUGUGAAGAGCAAAAUCAACUGCUCCUCUUUGUUGUAAGAUUACUUGAAAGUUAAAACAUCAGAGGUUUAAUACAAUAGGUGAUUGAUGGUCAAAAGUUGGAAACAAGAGAAGUGUUAAGAAAAGCGAUGAAGAUGUUGUGUGUUUACAUAUUUAACCUAAGGUUUCACUACUUGUGCCACUUAGAUCUCCAGGAUAUAUGAAGUGUUAAUGCCAUCUAUAUUCGAGCUGAUGAAAUCUUAACACUUUGGGGAGCAUAGGUCAUCCUGAAUGGAGUAAAAGUAGCAUAAGACAUUAUGAGUGGAAGAGCUCAAGGCGAAUGUCUUGAAUAGCGACAAAGGUUAUACAAAGUUACAAUAUUGUUUGUAUUCUGUAUUUAAAUCCAAUUUAGUGAGUCACACUCUUCGUUUUACUUCUUUGAUAUUUGUUCGUGGUUGAGAAUAUUUUGUGGAUGUAGUAAUCUAACAGCUAUUACUUAUGUUUGUGUUCAAGAAAUUCAUUGAAACAUAUAUCAUUUGUUUGCAUCUGUUUCAAUUGCAGUUUGGUAUUAACCGCCUAAUUUUGUGUCUAUCAGUAUCAGAAAAAAUUAGAAUUAUACCAAAUUUAAAAUUUUACUUCAACAAAAUAAAAAGACUUGGAACAGGAAUGUCGACAAAUAGAGGGUCAAGAAGAGUAAGUGAUAUCAUUCUCUAUUCUUGCUUCUUCUUUUUUAACCCCUGGUCUAUAUUUCUUCUUUUCAUUUUGUUUUGGUAUUGAAAUUGGCAGCUCAAGGGUGUUGAAAAGAAAAGAACAUGUGGUACCUGUAAUUCUGGAGAUUAGUCAAAUUAUAAAUGGCAAUAUCACCAACACUAUGAAUGUCUUUGUUUGUCAUAUGAUAGUGUUUGCAAAUAACUGCUUGGUUUUGCAGAAAUUGAAGCUAUAACUUUGGUUCUUGUAAGUGUUUGCCAAUUUUGAUGUUAAUAUUUUUGAAAAGCAAUGUGGUCAUGUGUAGGGAGAUUGUAAUGUUACUGUCCAUGUAUAGUCCUGCACGCAGCGUUGAAGAUGUCUUAACUUUUAGAAAGGAACUUUUCCCCGAGACAGUAGUGGUGCUUCUUGGCCAUAAUAUUAGAUUGCUUUCUUAUAUCUAGAAACCCAAAUGUGAGGUGAUAUGAUGUAGACAAUUCUCAUGGUUAAUAGCAUAUAUUUAACUAGUAUUAUUUUUCUUAAGGUUCUUGAUACUAUUAUAUUCAUUAGUGCUGUUGUAGCUGGAAUUUCAAAUAUUUGGUGGUUUAGGGUUGCGGACAGUUCCAGUAGUUAAUAAUUUGAUACUUGUUAACCGUGAAUCAUAUUCUGAUUACUUGGUUGUGUAGCAAUCUGGAAUUCAAAUUGUGAGGUGGUUUACAUAAGUUAAUAAUGUAUCCCGUUCUUAUUUUGGGAUAGAUUUGAUCAUGUUAUAAUAUUCUUUCACGUUAUUGCAGCUGAAAUCCCAAAUGUGAUAUUGUUGCAGCAAAUCAUUCACAUGGGAACAAUGCUUGUGAAGAGCAUAAGAUGGUGGAUGUGCUUUAUGUAAUAGUAGUAGUUUUACUCCAUCCAGUUUGUUGUACAUAUCUGUAGUGUGGUUUGUUUUCAUAGAAACAACGUGACUUGACUAUGUUAAUGUUUUGGUUUCUUUUUAAUUCUAAGCUCUAUUUCAGCUCCCAAUUCUGCCGUCUUCAACAUUUUUCAAACAAAACUAAUUCUAUGUCCUUUGGUUGUUUGAAGUCAGCUUUGUAAUUAUAUUUGCCGGUACUGAGAAAAGUUCAACUUUUUCCUUAUUUAGUUUUUGAAGUGGACUUUGUGCAUUUAU
This 3458-nucleotide long non-coding RNA is filed under the name Nicotiana tabacum (common tobacco). RNAcentral describes it as "long non-coding RNA (NTAB_LNC004170)". Lineage: Eukaryota; Viridiplantae; Streptophyta; Magnoliopsida; Solanales; Solanaceae. The record is from RNAcentral.